Molecule: small RNA, 28 nt
Filed under: Bombyx mori (domestic silkworm)
Lineage: Eukaryota; Metazoa; Arthropoda; Insecta; Lepidoptera; Bombycidae
Description: ovarian small RNA-17515
Source: RNAcentral
GGGCUGGGUGUGGCCCACGUGCAACUGC